This 233-nucleotide ribosomal RNA is filed under the name uncultured Candidatus Saccharibacteria bacterium. Its description in RNAcentral is "partial 16S ribosomal RNA". It matches the Rfam family "Bacterial small subunit ribosomal RNA", at positions 584 to 818 of the family's 1533-position model. The record is from RNAcentral. Lineage: Bacteria; Candidatus Saccharimonadota.
GAAGUCGGUAGUGAAUCUGGUGGCUCAACCAUUCAGGCUACUAUCGAAACUUCUAAGCUCGAGACCGUUAGGGUAACUGGAAUUUCUAGUGUAGGAGUGAAAUCCGUAGAUAUUAGAAAGAACACCGAUAGCGUAGGCAGGUUACUGGGCGGUUCUGACACUAAGGCACGAAAGCGUAGGGAGCAAACGGGAUUAGAUACCCCGGUAGUCUACGCUGUAAACGAUGGAUACUA